RNAcentral lists this ribosomal RNA (254 nucleotides) under uncultured bacterium. RNAcentral's name for it is "partial 16S ribosomal RNA". It matches the Rfam family "Bacterial small subunit ribosomal RNA", at positions 524 to 776 of the family's 1533-position model. The record is from RNAcentral.
CACGUAGGGUGCGAGCGUUGUCCGGAAUUAUUGGGCGUAAAGAGCUCGUAGGCGGUGUGUCGCGUCGGCCGUGAAAACCUGCAGCUUAACUGUGGGCUUGCGGUCGAUACGGGCAUCACUGGAGUUCGGCAGGGGAGACUGGAAUUCCUGGUGUAGCGGUGAAAUGCGCAGAUAUCAUGAGGAAGACCAGUGGCGAAGGCGGGUCUCUGGACAGUUCCUGACACUGAGGCACGAAGGCCAGGGGAGCAAACAGG